UGAUCCUGCCUUUCAGGCAUCCUCUCCCAAAACUUUCAAAGCCGAUCGGGCAACCGGUCGGCUUUUUUUCGCCUCAUG
Molecule: small RNA, 78 nt
Filed under: Novosphingobium sp. FSW06-99
Lineage: Bacteria; Pseudomonadati; Pseudomonadota; Alphaproteobacteria; Sphingomonadales; Sphingomonadaceae
Description: Makes More Granules Regulator RNA (mmgR)
Rfam family: Makes More Granules Regulator RNA (mmgR)
About the family: SuhB later renamed mmgR (makes more granules regulator) was a putative non-coding RNA found multiple times in the Agrobacterium tumefaciens genome and related alpha-proteobacteria.
Source: Rfam by way of RNAcentral